Molecule: ribosomal RNA, 500 nt
Filed under: uncultured bacterium
Lineage: Bacteria
Description: bacterial SSU rRNA
Rfam family: Bacterial small subunit ribosomal RNA
Source: RNAcentral
UAGGGUCGGUUCGGCCGGAUUUCACACAGGUGUUGCAUGGCUGUCGUCAGCUCGUGUCGUGAGAUGUUGGUUAAGUCCCGCAACGAGCGUAACCCUCAUCCUUAGUUGCCAUCAGGUAAUGCUGAGCACUUUAAGGAAACUGCUAGUGAUAAACUGGAGGAAGGUGGGGAUGAUGUCAAGUCAUCAUGGCCCUUAUGGAGUGGGCUACAUACGUGCUACAAUGGUGGCUACAAUGGGCUGCAAAGUCGCGAGGCCAAGCUAAUCCCUUAAAAGCCAUCUCAGUUCGGAUUGUACUCUGCAACUCGAGUGCAUGAAGUUGGAAUCGCUAGUAAUCGUGGAUCAGCAUGCCACGGUGAAUACGUUCUCGGGUCUUGUACACACUGCCCGUCACGCCAUGGGAAUUGGUUUCACUCGAAGCUAAUGACCUAACCGCAAGGAGGGAGUUAUUUAAAGUGGGAUCAGUGACUGGGGUGAAGUCGUAACAAGGUAGGCGUAGUGCU